RNAcentral lists this ribosomal RNA (253 nucleotides) under uncultured bacterium. RNAcentral describes it as "partial 16S ribosomal RNA". It matches the Rfam family "Bacterial small subunit ribosomal RNA", at positions 524 to 776 of the family's 1533-position model. The record is from RNAcentral.
UACGUAGGGGGCAAGCGUUAUCCGGAUUUACUGGGUGUAAAGGGAGCGUAGACGGCGAAGAAAGUCUGAAGUGAAAGCCCGCGGCUCAACCGCGGAAUGGCUUUGGAAACUUUUUUGCUGGAGUACCGGAGAGGUAAGCGGAAUUCCUAGUGUAGCGGUGAAAUGCGUAGAUAUUAGGAGGAACACCAGUGGCGAAGGCGGCUUACUGGACUGUAACUGACGUUGAGGCUCGAAGGCGUGGGGAGCAAACAGG